Molecule: ribosomal RNA, 497 nt
Filed under: uncultured bacterium
Lineage: Bacteria
Description: partial 16S ribosomal RNA
Rfam family: Bacterial small subunit ribosomal RNA
Source: RNAcentral
GACGAACGCUGGCGGCGUGCCUAAUACAUGCAAGUCGAGCGCUGAAGGGUGGUACUUGUACCCACUGGGUGAGCAGCGAACGGGUGAGUAACGCGUGGGGAAUCUGCCGUUGAGCGGGGCACAUAAUUGGGAAACGAAUGCUGAUACCGCAUAAAAACUUUAAACACAAGAUUGAAGUGUGAAAGAUGCAAUUGCAUAACUCAAAGAUGAGACCGCGUUGCAGUAGCUAGUUGGCGAGCUAAAGGCUCACGACGGAGAUGAUACAUAGCCGACCUCAGAGGGUGCUCGGCCACAUUGGUAUGGGGACACGGCCCAAACUCCUACGGGAGGCAGCCGUAGCGAAUCUUCGGCAAUGGCCGCAAGUCGGACCGUUCAACGCUGCGUGAGUGACUAAUGUUGCCGGGUCGUGUAACUCUGUUGGUAGUGAAGAACGUUGGUGAGAGUGGGAAGCUCAUCAAGUGACGGUAACUACCCAGAAAGGGACGGCUAACUACGUG